UAAAACAGCCGGGUGGUCAUCAGCAGAGAUUGGGAAGGUCGCUGUGCUGGAUGAAGAUGAAUGGGAUACAAAACACUAUUCCGCCGUCUCUCAAAUACCCAGGUAUUUUUGGUUGAACCAAAACAACGGGACAAUCCUGAUGACCGAGAGACCUCCGCAGGGAAUGUACAACCUCAAUAUUACGGUUUCUGACGGUGUGUGGCCAGAUACCUUCUCUACUAUCAAAAUGUAUGUACAAGAGAUUGGAAGUGACGCCUUCCGCAGCUCGGUGUCUCUGAGACUCACAAGCAUUACAGCAGAGGAAUUCAUAGAGAAGGAUGAGUUUGGAGUCAGCAGACGUGACCAGC
Molecule: long non-coding RNA, 347 nt
Organism: Spea bombifrons (plains spadefoot toad)
Lineage: Eukaryota; Metazoa; Chordata; Amphibia; Anura; Pelobatidae
Exons: 3
Source: RefSeq, a predicted model, not a curated record